CCUACGGGAGGCAGCAGUGAGGAAUAUUGGUCAAUGGCCGGAAGGCUGAACCAGCCAAGCCGCGUGAAGGACGAAGGUGCCAAGCAUUGUAAACUUCUUUUGUCAAGGGACAAAAUCAGGCUCGAGAGCCUGACCGAGGGUACUUGAAGAAAAAGCAUCGGCUAACUCCGUGCCAGCAGCCGCGGGAAUACGGAGGAUGCGAGCGUUAUCCGGAUUUAGUGGGUUUAAAGGGUGCGUAGGCGGGCUGUUAAGUCAGCGGUAAAAGCCCGGGGCUCAACCCCGGCGAGCCGUUGAAACUGGCUGUCUUGAGAUGUCGAGAGGUAUGCGGAAUGCGCAGUGUAGCGGUGAAAUGCUUAGAUAUUGCGCAGAACUCCGAUUGCGAAGGCAGCAUACCGGCGGCGAUCUGACGCUGAGGCACGAAAGCGUGGGUAUCGAACAGGAUUAGAUACCCCAGUAGUC
RNAcentral lists this ribosomal RNA (459 nucleotides) under uncultured bacterium. Its description in RNAcentral is "partial 16S ribosomal RNA". It matches the Rfam family "Bacterial small subunit ribosomal RNA", at positions 338 to 795 of the family's 1533-position model. The record is from RNAcentral.